This is a non-coding RNA of Heterocephalus glaber (naked mole-rat), 64 nucleotides long. Lineage: Eukaryota; Metazoa; Chordata; Mammalia; Rodentia; Bathyergidae. The record is from Rfam.
GGGGAUUUAGCUCAGUGGUUCCGGCACCUGCCUUGCAAGCAGAAGGACCCAAGUUCAAUCCCCA